This 697-nucleotide ribosomal RNA is filed under the name uncultured Fusobacteriota bacterium. RNAcentral's name for it is "bacterial SSU rRNA". It matches the Rfam family "Bacterial small subunit ribosomal RNA", at positions 62 to 776 of the family's 1533-position model. The record is from RNAcentral. Lineage: Bacteria; Fusobacteriati; Fusobacteriota.
UCUUUGGCGAAGCUGUGCUUGCACAGACGAGCCAAGGCGGACGGGUGAGUAACGCGUAAGGAACUUGCCCCGCAGACAGGGAUAACAGACGGAAACGACUGAUAAGACCUGGUGUUGUCAGGCUGACGCAUGUCAGGCUGAUGAAAGGAGACGCUGCGGGAAAGCCUUGCGUCCUAUUAGCUUGUUGGUGGGGUAACGGCCCACCAAGGCGAUGAUAGGUAGCCGGCCUGAGAGGGUGAACGGCCACAAGGGGACUGAGAUACGGCCCUUACUCCUACGGGAGGCAGCAGUGGGGAAUAUUGGACAAUGGGGGCAACCCUGAUCCAGCAAUUCUGUGUGCACGAAGAAGGUUUUCGGAUUGUAAAGUGCUUUCAGCAGGGAAGAAGCAAGUGACGGUACCUGCAGAAGAAGCGACGGCUAAAUACGUGCCAGCAGCCGCGGUAAUACGUAUGUCGCAAGCGUUAUCCGGAAUUAUUGGGCAUAAAGGGCAUCUAGGCGGCCCUGUAAGUCUAGGGUGAAAACCUGCGGCUCAACCGCAGGCCUGCCCCGGAAACUACAGGACUGGAGUAUUGGAGAGGUGGACGGAACUGCACGAGUAGAGGUGAAAUUCGUAGAUAUGUGCAGGAAUGCCGAUGAUGAAGAUAGUUCACUGGACGAUAACUGACGCUGAAGUGCGAAAGCUGGGGGAGCGAACAGG